RNAcentral lists this long non-coding RNA (444 nucleotides) under Chinchilla lanigera (long-tailed chinchilla). Its description in RNAcentral is "lncRNA (ENSCLAG00000028302.1)". The record is from RNAcentral. Lineage: Eukaryota; Metazoa; Chordata; Mammalia; Rodentia; Chinchillidae.
GCUCACUAGACAGAUCUGUUUUUAAUCUCUUAUAUUUCACUUUCUUGGCUCUGCAGCAGCACGGACAUGUUGCACUGCAUGAGUAAUAGACUGAAAGCCAAAUAAAAUAGCCGUUUCUUUAGAAUUAGAAACACAACAGCAACUAAAAACAACUUUAGCCUGCUUGGGGCCGAGCAGGAGGUGCUGGUGGGGAGGACAGCUCGGUGUCUGGAGCUUGCCUUCCAGAGCUCAAGAGUUCAGGCUUGGAUCGCUUUCAGCUGCAGGAGCGGAUGACCAGGCAGCUCAGGACAUCGGCCAGACCCUGUGGUGAGGAAACACUUCCCGUCUGGACACCAAAUCCACUGGGAUCCACAAACCUCUGAACCUAAGAGGUCAGUGAACUUGGUCUGAGAACCUGCAUUUUUAUUUCCAAGAUCCUGUUGCUGAAAUUGAACAUAUUCUUUA